This 247-nucleotide ribosomal RNA is filed under the name uncultured bacterium. RNAcentral describes it as "partial 16S ribosomal RNA". It matches the Rfam family "Bacterial small subunit ribosomal RNA", at positions 523 to 769 of the family's 1533-position model. The record is from RNAcentral.
AUACGGAGGUGGCGAGCGUUGUUCGGAUUUAUUGGGUGUAAAGGGCAUGUAGGUGGUCAAGUAAGUCGAAUGUGAAAUGCUUUGGCUCAACCAAAGAAUUGCAUUCGAAACUGCUUGACUUGAGUUCGGGAGAGGAGAGCGGAAUUCCCGGUGUAAGAGUGAAAUCUGUAGAGAUCGGGAGGAACACCAGUGGCGAAGGCGGCUCUCUGGACCGACACUGACACUGAAAUGCGAAAGCUAGGGGAGC